This 566-nucleotide ribosomal RNA is filed under the name Escherichia coli. RNAcentral's name for it is "bacterial SSU rRNA". It matches the Rfam family "Bacterial small subunit ribosomal RNA", at positions 56 to 616 of the family's 1533-position model. The record is from RNAcentral. Lineage: Bacteria; Pseudomonadati; Pseudomonadota; Gammaproteobacteria; Enterobacterales; Enterobacteriaceae.
UGCAAGUCGAGCGGAUGAAGGGAGCUUGCUCCUGGAUUCAGCGGCGGACGGGUGAGUAAUGCCUAGGAAUCUGCCUGGUAGUGGGGGAUAACGUCCGGAAACGGGCGCUAAUACCGCAUACGUCCUGAGGGAGAAAGUGGGGGAUCUUCGGACCUCACGCUAUCAGAUGAGCCUAGGUCGGAUUAGCUAGUUGGUGGGGUAAAGGCCUACCAAGGCGACGAUCCGUAACUGGUCUGAGAGGAUGAUCAGUCACACUGGAACUGAGACACGGUCCAGACUCCUACGGGAGGCAGCAGUGGGGAAUAUUGGACAAUGGGCGAAAGCCUGAUCCAGCCAUGCCGCGUGUGUGAAGAAGGUCUUCGGAUUGUAAAGCACUUUAAGUUGGGAGGAAGGGCAGUAAGUUAAUACCUUGCUGUUUUGACGUUACCAACAGAAUAAGCACCGGCUAACUUCGUGCCAGCAGCCUCGGUAAUACGGAAGGGUGCAAUCUUUUAUUUGAUUUUCUGGGCGGAACGCGCGGGUAGGUGGUUCAUUAGGUUGGAUGUGACAUCCCCGGGCCUGACCUG